RNAcentral lists this ribosomal RNA (429 nucleotides) under Bacteroidota bacterium. RNAcentral describes it as "Bacteroidetes bacterium partial 16S ribosomal RNA". It matches the Rfam family "Bacterial small subunit ribosomal RNA", at positions 355 to 776 of the family's 1533-position model. The record is from RNAcentral. Lineage: Bacteria; Pseudomonadati; Bacteroidota.
UAGGGAAUCUUCCGCAAUGGACGCAAGUCUGACGGAGCAACGCCGCGUGAGUGAAGAAGGAUUUCGGUUCGUAAAACUCUGUUGUUAGAGAAGAACAGCGCAUAGAGUAACUGUUAUGCGUGUGACGGUAUCUAACCAGAAAGCCACGGCUAACUACGUGCCAGCAGCCGCGGUAAUACGUAGGUGGCAAGCGUUGUCCGGAUUUAUUGGGCGUAAAGCGAGCGCAGGCGGUCAAUUAAGUCUGAUGUGAAAGCCCCCGGCUCAACCGGGGAGGGUCAUUGGAAACUGGUUGACUUGAGUGCAGAAGAGGAGAGUGGAAUUCCAUGUGUAGCGGUGAAAUGCGUAGAUAUAUGGAGGAACACCAGUAGCGAAGGCGACUCUCUGGACUGUAACUGACGCUGAGGCUCGAAAGCGUGGGUAGCAAACAGG